UUUGCCCUGACCGAUGAAUGUUCAACAUUGGGAUUUGUUAAAUAAUUUCAGUGUAUUAGUUAACGCGUUAAACAUUCCGCCUGGGGACUAUGAUCGCAAGAUUGAAACUCAAAGGAAUUGGCGGAGAUCCGUACAAGCGGUGGAGCAUGUGGUUUAAUCCGAUAAUCCGCGUAAAAUCUUACCAAUUUUUGAUUAUAGAGGUUAUAAAAAUUUAGAAUUUUUAUGAAAAAAACAUAAAGUUUUUUAUCUCUUGCAGGUGU
This 260-nucleotide ribosomal RNA is filed under the name uncultured bacterium. RNAcentral's name for it is "partial 16S ribosomal RNA". It matches the Rfam family "Bacterial small subunit ribosomal RNA", at positions 796 to 1041 of the family's 1533-position model. The record is from RNAcentral.